This 253-nucleotide ribosomal RNA is filed under the name uncultured bacterium. RNAcentral describes it as "partial 16S ribosomal RNA". It matches the Rfam family "Bacterial small subunit ribosomal RNA", at positions 524 to 776 of the family's 1533-position model. The record is from RNAcentral.
GACAGAGGUGCCGAGCGUUAGGCGGAAUCACUGGGCUUAAAGCGUGUGUAGGCGGAUGGGUAAGUCCCUUGUGAAAUCCCACGGCUCAACCGUGGAACUGCUCGGUAUACUGCUCGUCUUGAGCCAACUAGGGGCGACCGGAACAAACGGUGGAGCGGUGAAAUGCGUAGAUAUCCGGAGGAAUACCAAAGGCGAAGGCAGUGUCCUGGCUGGCAACUGACGCUGAGGCGCGAAAGCUAGGGGAGCGAACAGG